GUGCCAGCCGCUGCGGUAAUACGGAGGGUGCAAGCGUUAAUCGGAAUUACUGGGCGUAAAGCGCACGCAGGCGGUCUGUCAAGUCGGAUGUGAAAUCCCCGGGCUCAACCUGGGAACUGCAUUCGAAACUGGCAGGCUAGAGUCUUGUAGAGGGGGGUAGAAUUCCAGGUGUAGCGGUGAAAUGCGUAGAGAUCUGGAGGAAUACCGGUGGCGAAGGCGGCCCCUGGACAAAGACUGACGCUCAGGUGCGAAAGCGUGGGGAGCAAACAGGAUUAGAUACCCUGGUAGUCCACGCCGUAAACGAUGUCGAUUUGGAGGUUGUGCCCUUGAGCGUGGCUUCCGGAGCUAACGCGUUAAAUCGACCGCCUGGGGAGUACGGCCGCAAGGUUAAAACUCAAAUGAAUUGACGGGGCCGCACAAGCGGUGGAGCAUGUGGUUAACUCGAUGCAACGCGAAGAACCUUACCUGGUCUUGACAUCCACAGAACUUAGCAGAGAUGCUUUGGUGCCUUCGGGAACUGUGAGACGAGGUCG
Molecule: ribosomal RNA, 533 nt
Filed under: uncultured bacterium
Lineage: Bacteria
Description: bacterial SSU rRNA
Rfam family: Bacterial small subunit ribosomal RNA
Source: RNAcentral